Molecule: long non-coding RNA, 2599 nt
Organism: Parus major (Great Tit)
Lineage: Eukaryota; Metazoa; Chordata; Aves; Passeriformes; Paridae
Exons: 5
Source: RefSeq, a predicted model, not a curated record
AUGCAAUGUGAAAUUGCUGCAAGAACACAUCCUAACAAAACAGGGACAUGGGCUGCCUCCAAGAACCACUGGUUUAACAAGAGAGGCAAAAGACCAGAGGCAGCUCUCUGGAACAGAUUACGACCACACAGGGGAAAGCGUAGAGCCAAGAAACCCUGCUACUUCUCUCCCUGAGCCUAAUUUUAGCAGUGCUUUAUUUAUCUGUAAUAAAAUACAAUUUCAGGAACAAGCUUCUUUGGAAUGAAACAGAGAAAUUAAGAAUUAGGAAUCAAACAUCAAGAAAUUUUUUGACUGAAAGAAGGAGGGGCUGACAAAACCCUGUGAAACUCUUACUGUUUCCACAAGAACAGGAAGGGAGUAAGGCUACAAGGCAAGAUAAAGAGCUAGAGUGCACAAACAGGAUGCAAGGGCAAAGGCACAACAGGAUAUGGGGAUUCUCUGGGCCCCUGAGCCAGAAAAAAUGGUAUCAAAGCCCAGAAGAUGGCCAAAGGACUAAAAAGGAGCAUGUGCAAGAAGACAAGUCGAAAAGUUCAGCUGAGGGGAAGAUUGCUUACUUCAGCCUCAAAGACCCCCAGACAACCCCAGGAUGACCAACAAAGAGCAGUGCACAGUGGCAAAGAGGUUCCUCUCCACGAUCCCUAUGUAGUCCUUCACUUCUGGCACUGUGGAGCUCCUAAUGGCAGAGGCUUGGUCGAAGACAAUUUUCUGGCGGUCUGCAACCACCUGUGCAAAGGCAGAGCGGGAGCCAUCCUCGAUGGGCCACAGGUACACGGCGUAGGCGUGCUCACCAGUGGUCACAAAAACAUCCAGCUGCGGGGAAUCGCCACGCACGGUGAAGCUCUGCACGUCCACGGAGGGCCCAAUGAAAAGGACAUGCAAAAGAGGGAAGAGCCAAACCAAGACUACUGCAUUUCAAAUUAAAGGUGAAGACAAACAAAUGUCUCCACUAGAGGGCUCCAAUAAUGCAACAAUUCUGAUCGGUCGUUUUUCACUGGCAGGAUCACCAGCACGGAGCCCAAGUGCAUCAUUCUACAUUGAUAAUCUGCUCUGUCCAUGAAUCAGGACUGGACAAACUGUACACAACGGGAUUUUUAACUCUUACAGACUAUCAGGUAAGAAUUUCAGAAUCACUUAGAAAACUGAACAUAUAUAUACAUCAUGCCUUGUACAUCUGCCCACAGACUUUUGUUCUAUUCAGUAAAUUAAAUUUUACUAAGCAGCAAAAGAGAAAAUUCAAUACUGCAGCACACUAAGAAACAUUUUUAUCAAAUCCUGAACUUUGCUGCAUAAGUGGCCGAUUUGAGUUGAUAUACUUCAGAAAAAAAACAUUCCUAUGGCUUAGCACAUACCUUGAUUCAUCAGAACCAGGCUUCCAGCCAGCAGGGCCACACAGUUGGUAGGCUGGUGGUUGUGAAGGUACUGGAAACCCCAUCCACGUCUGUAUGAUGUUUCGUACAUAUAUCCUGAGGCAUUGGCAAUCACUUCAAGAAAUCUCUCCUGUUGAAUCUUGCUAAGGUAGCUGUACAAGAAGUCAUAAGCAGUGGCAAAACCAACCAAGGAGUGAGCAAGAGGGACUUCAUCCCAGGGGGCAUCCUUCACUAGCCUGUCAAUAAAUGAAGAUGGCAAUUAAUUGAAUUUCACCUACUUCGUUUUCCCCCUUACUGUACUGUGAUAAGCAUUUGACUUAAGGUCUCCAAAGUUAGAUUAUUCAUGUUGAAUUUUAACACAGUAGUAAGAUACUUACCAAGUCUCUAAAAUAUUUUUUCCUAUCCUAAGUAUGGACAACAUUAAUCUUCAAAGCUCAUAAACUUUAUUAGAAAGAUUAAGUUGCUAAAUAUUAGAAAAAUGUUUGAAAUAUUCUGGGUUUUGCUAGGAGAAAGACAGGCAGAAUAGUGAUUGUACAGAAAUUUAAUUUAUUUAUCUGAAGAAAGAUUCAUGUCAUUUUUGUGAUAAAGUAAUAUGCCAUGGUUUAUACGCCUCCAACCUCCUGCAACAAAUCUUUUUUCUUUUCCAAAGGAGUCAGUUGAUGAUAAAUGGUGCCUAUGAGACCAAAAUUGUCUUUAAAAAAUGAAUUUAAAUUAUUGAGAUGAGUGUCCUACUGCAAUCGGCAGAAUGGUGAAUGCUCCCGAAGGCACACACAUUCUAGUUUCAACUACUCAAUGACUCUAUAAAUAUGAUUUCAUCUUCAUUUGUGUAAGCAUCAGCAUGAACAGACGAGGAAAAAAAAAUCCCCAAAGAGUAAACUAAAACCAAAAAAAUUCUGCUACAGAAGCAUUUAUUGGCAUUCCAAAUGCAUUAAAAAUACAUGUAGAAAUUACAACCAUCAGCCUAAGCACUGCAAUGAUGGCAAAAGACAAGCAAGUGAAAAAAAAAAGACUUUUAAUUUUUAUUUGAGCAUAUUUAAAUCAUAAGAAGGACUCAAGUUUGGCACAUUCAUACUCCCAUGUAAGGAAACUCUCUGUAUGCCUUUUGAUCAGCUGAAUUUCCAACAGUUUUAACUGUUCGCUGUUUCUCAGCUUUGAUCCCAUCUUCUGCUUGCAGUGAAGUUAAACAUUCUUUUUUCCUUUUUUUAAAUGAAAUAUUUAAAUGAAAUAUUUGU